GGGGCGGGAAUGUGUUCUCCACCCCUGGAACAGCCUGGCCUGAAGGGGACAAUGGGGACACUGGAGCUCCUCUGCUGAGACCUCUCUCCUCAGCUAAGGACGACCUGAACGCUCUGAGCCUCCCCUGCUCAGGCAUCCUUGGGUCUCACUGGUUGAGAAAGAAGAAAGAGAUUUGAGACCCAGAGAAACACAGAGAGGGCCACGUGGAGACAGAGGCAGAGAUUGGAGUGAUGCAGCUGCAAGCCAAGGGACGCCGGCAGCCAUCAGGAGCAUCAAGAAGUCUUCUGUUUGGGACUUCCCUGGUGGUCCAGUGGUUAAGAAUCCGUCUUGCAGCGCAAGAGAUGCCGGUUCGAUCCCUGGUUAGGGAACUAGGAUCCCACAUGCCGCGGGGCAACUAAGCCCAAGUGCCACAACUAGUGAGCCUGCACACCUCAACUAGAGAGAAGCCCACGCGCCACAACGAAAGAUCCCGUGUGCCGCAACUAAGACCCAACGCAGCCAAUAAAUAAAUAACCUCUGAGCUUUCGUGCGUGCUGUUCCCUCUGCCUGGAAGACGCCUUGGUUGACUCCUACUCAUCAGCGGGUCCCAGCUGUAACUUCCUCCAGGAAGCCCUCCCUGCCGUUCUCCAGGAACUCUAUGGGAAUCUGUACCUAUCCCCUGACCAGCUCAGGUGUGGGAACAUCGGAGCAGGAUUGGAGGAGAAU
Globicephala melas (long-finned pilot whale) is the source of this 705-nucleotide long non-coding RNA. RefSeq lists it as uncharacterized. Lineage: Eukaryota; Metazoa; Chordata; Mammalia; Artiodactyla; Delphinidae. The record is from RefSeq and is a predicted model, not a curated record.